UUGACCCUUUCGACCUCAAAUCAGGCAGGACUACCYGCUGAACUUAA
RNAcentral lists this ribosomal RNA (47 nucleotides) under Hydnellum glaucopus. RNAcentral describes it as "partial 28S ribosomal RNA". The record is from RNAcentral. Lineage: Eukaryota; Fungi; Basidiomycota; Agaricomycetes; Thelephorales; Thelephoraceae.